RNAcentral lists this ribosomal RNA (113 nucleotides) under Acanthosepion pharaonis. The record is from RNAcentral. Lineage: Eukaryota; Metazoa; Mollusca; Cephalopoda; Sepiida; Sepiidae.
UACAGCCAUAUCCCGUUGAAACUCCGGUUCCCGUACGAUCACCCAAGUUAAGCAACGUCGUGCAUGGUCAAUACCUAGAUGGGUAACCGCUUGGGAAUACCAGGUGCUGUAAG